AGAGUUUGAUCCUGGCUCAGGAUGAACGCUGGCGGUAUGCGUAACACAUGCAAGUCGAACGAAGUUUUUCGGAACUUAGUGGCGGACGGGUGAGUAACGCGUGAGAAUCUGCCUUAAGGAUUGGGACAACAGUGGGAAACCGCUGCUAAUACCAAAUAUGCCUUUUAGUGAAACGGGUAAAACCGCCUUAAGAUGAGCUCGCGUCUGAUUAGCUAGUUGGUGUGGUAAGAGCGCACCAAGGCAACGAUCAGUAGCUGGUCUGAGAGGACGACCAGCCACACUGGGACUGAGACACGGCCCAGACUCCUACGGGAGGCAGCAGUGAGGAAUUUUCCGCAAUGGGCGAAAGCCUGACGGAGCAAUACCGCGUGAGGGAGGAAGGUUCUUGGAUUGUAAACCUCUUUUCUCAGAGAAGAAUAAUGACGGUAUCUGAGGAAUAAGCAUCGGCUAACUCCGUGCCAGCAGCCGCGGUAAUACGGAGGAUACAAGCGUUAUCCGGAAUGAUUGGGCGUAAAGGGUCUGUAGGUGGUUGUUCAAGUCUGCUGUUAAAGCGUCUGGCUUAACCAGAUAAAGGCGGUGGAAACUGAACGACUAGAGUGCGGUAGGGGUAGAGGGAAUUCCCAGUGUAGCGGUGAAAUGCGUAGAUAUUGGGAAGAACACCUGUGGCGAAAGCGCUCUACUGGACCGCGACUGACACUGAUGGACGAAAGCUAGGGGAGCGAAUGGGAUUAGAUACCCCCGUAGUCC
Molecule: ribosomal RNA, 747 nt
Filed under: uncultured cyanobacterium
Lineage: Bacteria; Bacillati; Cyanobacteriota
Description: bacterial SSU rRNA
Rfam family: Bacterial small subunit ribosomal RNA
Source: RNAcentral